RNAcentral lists this ribosomal RNA (301 nucleotides) under uncultured bacterium. RNAcentral's name for it is "partial 16S ribosomal RNA". It matches the Rfam family "Bacterial small subunit ribosomal RNA", at positions 509 to 807 of the family's 1533-position model. The record is from RNAcentral.
CAGCCGCCGCGGGAAUGCGAAGGGGGCUAGCGUUGCUCGGAAUUACUGGGCGUAAAGGGCGCGUAGGCGGACAGUUCAGUCGGGGGUGAAAGCCCGGGGCUCAACCUCGGAAUUGCCUUCGAUACUGGCUGUCUUGAGUAUGAGAGAGGUGCGUGGAACUCCGAGUGUAGAGGUGAAAUUCGUAGAUAUUCGGAAGAACACCAGUGGCGAAGGCGACACACUGGCUCAUUACUGACGCUGAUGCACGAAGGCCAGGGGAGCGAACAGGAUUAGAGACCCGCGUAGUCCCUGUCUCUUAUAC